AUUAGUGGCGAACGGGUGAGUAACACGUGAGUAACCUGCCCCCAUCUUCGGGAUAACUUCGGGAAACUGUGGCUAAUACCGGAUAUGACUCGUACAGGCAUCUGUUGCGGGUGGAAAGAUUAUUGGUUGGGGAUGGGCUCGCGGCCUAUCAGCUUGUUGGUGGGGUGAUGGCCUACCAAGGCGACGACGGGUAACCGGCCUGAGAGGGCGACCGGUCACACUGGGACUGAGACACGGCCCAG
This 242-nucleotide ribosomal RNA is filed under the name uncultured bacterium. RNAcentral's name for it is "partial 16S ribosomal RNA". It matches the Rfam family "Bacterial small subunit ribosomal RNA", at positions 91 to 334 of the family's 1533-position model. The record is from RNAcentral.